This 460-nucleotide ribosomal RNA is filed under the name uncultured bacterium. Its description in RNAcentral is "partial 16S ribosomal RNA". It matches the Rfam family "Bacterial small subunit ribosomal RNA", at positions 338 to 795 of the family's 1533-position model. The record is from RNAcentral.
CCUACGGGUGGCAGCAGUGAGGAAUAUUGGUCAAUGGACGAGAGGCUGAACCAGCCAAGUAGCGUGAAGGAUGACUGCCCUAUGGGUUGUAAACUUCUUUUAUAAAGGAAUAAAACGAGGCACGUGUGCCUCUUUGCAUGUACUUUAUGAAUAAGGAUCGGCUAACUCCGUGCCAGCAGCCGCGGUAAUACGGAGGAUCCGAGCGUUAUCCGGAUUUAUUGGGUUUAAAGGGAGCGUAGGUGGGUUGGUAAGUCAGUUGGGAAAUUUUGCGGCUCAACCGUAAAAUUGCAAUUGAUACUGGCAGUCUUGAGUACAGUUGAGGUAGGCGGAAUUCGUGGUGUAGCGGUGAAAUGCUUAGAUAGCACGAAGAACCCCGAUUGCGAAGGCAGCUUACGAAACUGUGACUGACAUUGAUGCUCGAAAGUGUGGGUAUCAAACAGGAUUAGAGACCCCGGUAGUC